This 9085-nucleotide long non-coding RNA is filed under the name Lactuca sativa (garden lettuce). Its description in RNAcentral is "long non-coding RNA (LSAT_LNC001378)". Lineage: Eukaryota; Viridiplantae; Streptophyta; Magnoliopsida; Asterales; Asteraceae. The record is from RNAcentral.
AUUUGUGUAAGUAAGCAUUUUAUUCAAAAUAACUUUAUAAAAGUAGUAGUUUAGAAUCAACGGUGUAUUAGAGUCCUUUCCAGAAAAUCCUAUAUUUUCUAAAUGAAAGCAGUCUUCUACCAAGACUCGACACAGUUAUGUUUUAAAGAGUAAUUUUCCCUGAAAUAUUAUCGUUACCAAAAUACGAUAUUUGAUUUUUAAGAAAGUAGGAGAAUAUCACGAGUAAAAACAUUAGGGAAAAUAACAUAUGCCUCAGUAGAGAAAAUUGCUGACUAAGGCAAAAGAAAUCAUAGACUCCAGGAGAGUAUCAAAUGAAUGAUAUGUUAGCUCAGUCUAACAAAAGGGAAUACAGACCCCAUACGGUAUCAAAUGUGCGAUACGACUAGCAAGGUCUAAAACAAAAAAGCACAGACCCCAGACAGUAUCAAAUGAAAGAUACAGCUAGCAAGGUCUAAAACAAGGAAACACAUACCCCAGACAGUAUCAAAUGAAAGAUACAGCUAGCAAGGUCUAAAACAGAGAGACUCAGACCCCAGACAGUAUCAAAUGAAAGAUACAGCUAGCAAGGUCUAAAACAAAGAGUGAUCCUAAGAGUGUUGUUUCAGAAAUACAGUGUUAAUUCUCGUUACCUUAAGGCCAUGAAUUAUAAGGUAAACAUGGAUAUACUCGUAACCAUAUUGAUUGACACUAGAGUACUUGACGUCGUGCAAGCGUCGGAAUAAAUAUGACAUUUGUCACCCCUUGGCUUGGUAGGCCGUGGACUGUAGCUAGCAGUCAGGGUGCGGGAGUGUCAGUCCCGUAUAGAUCUAUACACACAAUGCCCGCUCUCCCUACAGGAGACUCUGGUUACCAACUCGAAAACGGGGAGAUCCGUGUCUUGAAGAUGCAUCUCGGAUUCUGAAUUCUAUUAGAGGCGCUGGAGAAAUGAUAUAGACUCGCGUGUGAACUGACUCCUAUGGAAUUAUCGUACUAGAAAGAGUGAAUAGAGCUUCCUAACAAUUCCUAUAAUAGUUACUAGUGUCCCUGAUCUAUGAGUGACGAGUGGUAGGAUGCCCUUGCUACCCAAGGAACAUGAACUGGCCGAUGGAAACCUUUAUGUCUAUACAUGUAUACAUGAUAUAUAAUUAAUGAUUAAGCGACCUUCGGACGGAUAUCCGAUCCCACCAGACCACAUCCAAACGAGGAAAAGGAAAUAGGGCAAACUAGCCUUCCUAAGUCCUUUAAACAUUUUUUUAUAAAACUAUACAAGUACAAGCAUGCAUUUAACAAGAUAGAAGCAUUUAACGAAGUAGUAGCAUCAACGAAGUAGAAGCAUUAAUGAAGUAGUAGCAUUAACGAAGUAGAAGCAUCUAACAAAGUAGAAGCAUUUAACGAAGUAGAAGCAUUUAACGAAGUAUAAGUAUAGAAGCAUAGAAGAAAACUUUGACGAAAACUUUGGAAAACCUUUACACUUAAGAAAAUUGUGACUUGUUAUCCUUUUGUAAAAUAGGCUUGAAGAUCUUUGGAAAUCCUUUGAGAACCGUUCAUAAACAAGUUUAAAUGAAAUUUUGAUAAAACAAUAUAAGUAAAGAAAACCUUUGUUUAAAAUCCUGCUGUAUCUGGUUUUGAAGUAAAACAUACAGCGUGAGAGACAAUUUGAGAAAAGGUGUACACAAGUAAAAACGUUUUGGAAAAAAACCCUUUAUAGUGUCAUACUUGGUAAAACAGCUGACAGUGUAAUAAAUCCUUGUGCAUGCGGGUUAUCAAUCGCAUAUGAUUGAUAUGAUAACUAGCAUGUUUUAACUUGUAUUCCCCCCCCCCCCAUAAAAGCAUGUGAAAACAUUUAAAAGGUUAAUUCAUGGGUAUGAACUCACCUGUCGUAAGUGGAUCGGGUGAAGGUGCCGGUUGGGUGCUCGGUGUCAAAUAAAGACUUGAACACACUUAGUGACCUAUUAACAUAUGAUGACAUAUGUUUACAUACAAUUAGUAAAUAUAAUACUAAUUAAACAUGUAUACGCAUCCUAAAGUGCGGAAAACACUUUGGUUAAGUGCUAGGAGUGUCCCGAGUAACAUCUAAGGGAGUGUAUGGCCUAGGUAGGGAGUUUACUCUUCAAGAGUAAACUCUUUAUAGAGUUUAAGUCCCUAAGACCAUAUCCCCAUGAGUUUACGGCCAUAAACUCAUGUUGGGGGUGUUCUAGGAUGCUUUAAGGUCUUAUCUCACUCGUAGAAUUAGGCUAGGUCCAAUUAUAAGGCAUAUAAAGGGGUUUAAGGCUCUAAAUGGACCUUUUGAGGAGUUUACGGCCCUAAACAAGGAGUUUACGGCCGUAAGCAUCUAUAUGCACAUUCCUUUUGUGUAUUAAGGUCUUAAAUGGUAGAGAAUAAAGUUCUAUGCAUUUUUCCAAGUCCAAUGAAGAAGUUAGGGCAUCAUUUGGGCACUCUUUGGGAGUUUACGGUCCAUAGACCAAUCGUAGGGGGUUUACGGUCGUAAACUCCUAUGUCCAAUGAUUCUUUAAUGUUCAAAGCCCCUAUAUCAAUUGUGGUGAAUUUUAGACAUUUUUCCAGGCCAUAGGGGUGUUUGUGGGCAUUUCUAACACCUUUAUAGGUGUUCACGGCCUAUGAAGAGGGGUUUAUGGUCCAAGAGUGUUCUUGGGCCGUAAACUCAAGUUUACUCUCCAUAUCAUAAGGUUUUAGUGUUCUAAGCUCGAAGGUGUAAGUCCACAAGUCAUAUCUAAGCCUUAGGGGUAGUUUAGAGUUGUUUUGGGGCUUAAAAACCCCACUUAAGGGUGUUCACGGUCCAAGAGUGUUCUUGGGCUGUAAACACAUAAUAUUGCCCCUAUUUGAUGUCUUAAACACGAGUUUUCAUGUUAACUAAGCUACACAACAAGUUAGGAUAGAUUACUUACUAGUUUGGAGCUCGGAAUGGGCGUUUUUGGGUCGAAAACAAGUUGUAAAGAGAGAGUGUGUAGUGAGAGAGUGGAAAGUGUCAAAUGGACUCCACUCACCCUUAUAUAGGGGUUUAAGUUGGGGCUCAGUGGAAAUCUACCCAAUACUGACGUUAAACGGGGCUUUUGGUCGCACCCGAUUAAAUGGUCGUAUUUUGACUUGGUUGAAACUAAAAAAUUUUCAAGGGAUUAAUGAGGGUGUUUCUAAUUUGUUUCAACCCUUACUAAGUCAUUAUAAAAGCCCUAAAUUAAUUAGCCAAUCCAAAAGGUUAACGGACAUUUAAUAAAGUGAGGCUUAUUAACGGAAGGAGGGGUUAAAAAUGACGGAAUAAAUUUCGGGUUGUCACAUCAUCCCGCCGUUAGAGGGAAUUUCGUCCCGAAAUUCAGGUUUAGGAAUGGAAGUAAUCAUAAACAAUCAGGUAGAGGUAUGAGGGUACUUCCUAUUCGGUUGGUCCUCGCACUCCCAAGUGAACUCUGGCAUGUGCUUGUCAAUCCAACAAACCUUCACUUACGGGAUGCGGAUUCCAUCUCGUGCAGUUAGCGAUUUCCAACAGGUUCGUCUACGAAGUUAGGGUUCUCAAUGGUUUCUAUCAAGAUGAGUGGGAUACCAAGAGUGGCAUCGACAAUCACUUUUCAAGUCCAAGAAGUGGAUCGAUUCGGGGUGAAACUUAUGGAGUUUCCGAAAGUAGUAGUGGUCUGACGGGGGUUGGACAAAAUUUUGUGAAGAAUCUCGGAUGGUCCUAAGCUCUCAGAAGGGUAGAGCUUUUCAGUACUUAGAACAUAGUGUACUUCUAUGGCGAGAUCAUCACUGGCGUGAUCGCUAUUCCGAAGUUCCAAACGUUCUCUCAUACUGGGGGUGUAGUCCUUCAGGUUUGUUCUUAGAAAACUCGGGUUGUCCUUGAAUUCGUGGUUCCUACUGAUUGGCUUUUAGAGGUUUUCUGGAUCAUCGGAUGGAUUGCAUGUCUACGGGUAUCUGUUUGCUGUAGGGUGGCUAUCUCAAUUUGUGCAAAAUGAACCUGCACUUCUGAUUCUUGAGAUGUUUCUAACGGAAACUCUCAUGGUCGGGGAGAUAGGGUUUCACCAGACGGGUGCUUAGAAAGUUUUUUAAACUUCCGAUCAUCGUCUAGUUGGCGCUUUCACGACAUGAUUCUUAUCGGGAAAGGAUCAUGCUCUUACUUGCCUUGCUGUUUCAUGAAUAGCAAGCUCUGAUUAGGGCUAACUCAAUCCUUAGAGAUUUUCCGAAGUGUUGGACUAUCUCGGGAGGUGGUUUUACUAUUCCUGCGCGAUAUAGUAUUCUCGGAACACCUAUUAGUCCAGUGAAUCUCUAAGUCCUGCCCUAUUCUCUAAGGCAUUGGUUUAUUUAAGUUGCAGGCAGUGCGUGCUCUUGUAUAAGCCAUCGACUAACACCUAGACUGGUGUCAAGUCUAUAAUCUCUUCCGGAUCUGGGUUAUAAGGCUUAACACAACCUACUUUCGCACUUUAGUCUAGUAUUCUUGGCUGCGGAGGUUAUCCUGUGGUUCUUGGCAUUCUAGUGUUCACUUCGGAGAAUGCAGUCUAUCGUCUAUAGGGCGAUGGUGACUUCCUCCACGUAAGGGGGCGGAGUGUCCUAGGCACUACUCGUCAGUAACGGGGAGGACGAAAUGCCUGAGCAGUGCGGACAUCUUCUGCAACUACUCUUCUGAAGGUUCUGAGUUUUCUCGAUCUAGGUCAAAUCUAGUGAGUAUAGGGUUCCAUCACUCGGAACUUUAAUCUUCUCAUCCACUCUUCUCAGAUUUUAACUUAUCGUAGUUUCUAGGGUUCCGGGAUAUCCGCUGAGAUGCUUAAUUCGGGGAAUUAAGCGUGAAUGGGUGGUCGUAGUCAAUGUCCUUGACUCUGAUGACUCAGAUUUCCUUACCAACUGAGGGUGUUAGCUACUAUGUUGUCUUAACCGGGAUGACAACAAUUUUGGAUUUUUGGUCAUUAUAGUAGCUCAACCCAUAGUGUUUCUCUUGACUCUAGCUCCUAUUUUAUGGAAUAGGAUGAAGCGUUUUACUAUGAGGUUCGUGGUAGAGCUCAUACUCGGCUUAACCACUAAUACUUGGUGUAUGCAAGCCGUAUAUAAUUGAGGUCGGCAGGAUGUUCAGUUGUGCGACUCCACCCCAGACCCACAACCCAACGAGGAACAGGGAGUAGGGAGGAAGCACACAUCUUAAAUCUUUUUGAUCUCAAUUAUAUACCACCCUUAAGCAUAUACUCAGUUAUACUAGUCGGUCCCAUGAGUUCUAUCUUCUUGAUUCACGAACCUGAUUGUGAGGUGCGAAGGUCUUUCUGGGGGAUCUACGGAGUGUGCUUCGGGUGGUUAUCGUCUUCUGGAAUACCUGCAGUGUCUUUCACUUCGGUUUCUAUCUGUCUAAGAAAGGUUGGUUAACAGCACACGGUACCCUUCUCCUUGGUACUUCGGAAGGUUUGAGAUAAGAGGGACGACUGACGGAUCGCAUUAGGUUUUAUUAUUUUUAUUUUGUUUAGGUUCGGAAGAACCUUUAUUUGCCGAAGUGGCUACGGUGAAAUUUCUUUUUAAACAGCACUAAGGAUUUACACAUGGUUGCACAAAGUCAACCCAUGAUUGAUAGAGGCAUUGAAGUUGGCAUACUUCGACAUGAUAUAUAAUGAGGGUCGAUAGGGUCAUGUGCUAAACAGGCACACCAGUUCUAGGCAUCUCGAGUUUCGCCCCGUGUAUCCCUGUCGCGGAUACUUGGACCGGUAGAGUCGCCGCGAAACUAUAGAGGGUCCUGAGUGUUUCUGAAUAGGGUACCUUUCAUGAAUGGAUUCUCACGAGGCCUUUCUAUAAUCGCCUAACAUAUACUAGCCAUGUAUAAUUAAGGUGGGGAGGACUGUUGACUGAGCGACUCCGCCUUAAAUCCACAACCAAACGAGUAACAGGAAAUGAGGCGGCAUUCACUCACUCUAGGUCUAUCCAUCUCAAUUAUACAUGGCCGUAACGUAUCUAGCCAUUAUAGUUUUACCUGAUGAAAUUUUAAAUUUUAUAAUAGUGCUGCGACUUUCGCCUUAAUGGGGAAGUAUUUACAUUUAUAAUUAGCCUUUUAAUGUUUUCGGUUAGUUAUCUGAGAUUGAGAGACGUACCAAAAAUCUACAGGGUUCCUUGAUGCUUCUCCCCAAGCAUUAGAUUUAGACUCCUCCUGUGUCCUUGUCGUUUCUUUCAGUUGGGCAAUCUCACUUGAGGUGCCCAAUCUCACCACAUAGGUGGCACACUGGAUUGAUCAUCACAUUGGUGGUUGAUGUAAUAAACUCAACCGGGGUUCUGCAGAUGCGAGCAGUAUGCCCCUUCAUGUUGCACCUAGUACAACAGAGUUCCCGGCAUACACCAUGAUGAUGGUAGCUACACUUACUGCAAUGGGGGAGGUUUCCUAGGUAGGGUCUCCUUGAAGUCGGGAUGGAAGGGUUGACAGGGGUAUUGGCUUUCUCAGCUCGUUGCCCUUCGAAAGGUCCUUGAGCCAAGGUACUUCCUUCCUCGUUCUUGAGCUUUCUCUUUACUGGAGCUGGCUGAGGUUCUUGGGUGGUUGGGUAUGUAGGUGUUGGUUGUCGGUGUCCAUUGCUAGGAUCGGAAUUUCCGAUAGGGCUCUUGCUAACAUUGGCGUUGUUAGCAUUCAGAUGAGCCAUGACAGCUGCUACGGCUGGCGAGACUGCCGCCUGGGACNAUCGAAUAGGAGAGUAGGUUUCUUGCCAGUGGAUUGGUUACGCUCCUUCGGAGGCAUGGUUUUCCUAUGAGAGACGAUGGUUAACCCUUAGACGUAUCAAUCCUUACUAUAUUAGCCAUAAAUUUUUCCCGUGCCUCGGAUAUUGGUUGUCUGAGUGUCGACCUACAUCCUUAUGAUAUAGUCUGGGUAUUCAAGGUAGGAGUAUGAGUUUUGCAAAAGCCAUAAGAUGGGAUUCGUUCCUACUAAGUUACCUUUAUACUGGGAAAGGUUUCACUCUCCGGCUUGGAGAGAUCUGAGAACAGUUCAGAACGUAGACCGCGGGAAGAAAGGCUCAUGAAGACUUAUGGCUAAACAACCUUAAUAGAGGUGUGGGGAUCCGCUCUAAUCGUAUUAAUUGCAAUGGGAAAAGGCGAUUUUCCUAACACAUAACGUGAGUAGUGUAAUCACUAACUCACUAAAUUGUAUUAUUUUAUGGGUGUAUUAGCGUGACGAACACGAGGAAAAGCCACUUCUUGGGUUCCAUGUAAUGGCUCCCUCUGUCUACCUCGUAUCUUUGACUGGGACAGGCGUUGGUUUCCUUCGGGUAGUUACCUAGGUUUCUCUUCUCCUAUAGACAUAUUGAAUUUGUACUCCGCCUUACUCCCGAUUCUGACUUUGAGUGUCAUCGCUUCAGGAUGGAUGAUUGGAAUUCUAGGAAGUUUAGGCGAAUUUCUCACCAUGUCCCUAAAAAGAUAUGGGCACUCGGUGAUUUCAAUAGUAUCGAACUAGUUCAUUUAUUUCCGAACUGGAAAUCUUCUCAAUGAACCUCUUCUGGGUCUGAAUCAACUCUUCUGCCGAGUACUGAAGUGGAUAGGGUUUUCUACAGGGUUCGUGCGAGAAUGGAAAUGUCUAAAGAAUCCUAAGAGAUUAUUAACAUUUCACUAGGUGAUCCAUAUCGAGUCCUGCUACGAUUACAUAGGGUAUACAAAUCAUAUAUAGCUUAGAUCCGAUAGGCCUUCGAAUAUGUGAUACUACUCUAUAUCCACAUCCCAACGAGGAAAAGGAAGUAGAGCGAAACCACACAUUCUUAGCCUAUGGGAUCCUUAUUAUAUAUAACCUUGGGAGUAUACCCUCUGUAAUUGUAGGUAUAUCAAUAAGGAUCUUUUUAGUUCUUCACACAAGGUUAUCUAUGGAUCCUAAAAUACCCCUAUGGUAUUUUAAUUUCUUGUUUGUUUCUUAUCUUCUGAAUAUGAUUCUGGGAUUAAUGUGAGUCUUUUAGUAUUCCAAAAUACUCCCAUAGUAUUUUAAACUUUAUGUUUGGCUCUAGCAUUCCUAGUUGGUAAGUUUCAGACCUGUUGCAACACCACUAUCACUCCCAAGCACACGUUCAUCGCAUCUCGAAUAAAUUUAGUUGAUCAGGUUACAUUUAUUCCAGCUUACGAUUACAUAACUGCCCAGGUUUGACGGUAAUGCUCAACAUCCGAAGACUUUUAUUCUUGUUCUUCUUGUGAUACUUGUGUUCGAGUGUUUAGAUUCUGGAUGUUCUUAUACUUUGGUAAAAUAUGGUUAUAUUUUAAAGUAUAAUUCUUGGUCAGAGUGUUUUAUCCCUAUGUAUUUAUAGGUUGUAUAUCUUUUAUGAAUUGAUAUACUUAGCUCACUAUAAACAAUGCUCUGAUACCAAUCUGUCACACCCCAAAACCGGAACGGCGGAAACGUUCUGGGGUGGAUGAUGUCAUGUCAAGUAUCACAACCUAUGUGGUAUAGUAAUAAAAGUACAACAACCAUUUCAUUAAUAGCAAUAGUUUUACAUAAGUUACAUUACAUAGAGACAUCAAAAUAAUACAAGUAAUAAUAUAGGUGCAGCUUGGUACAAGGUUGUCUCCACAAAAGCUCCUGGGUGUACCUGUCUAUUACUGACCUGAGAAUACAAGUUAUUUUGAAAGCAGUAUCAGCAUUUUUAUAAAUGCUGGUGAGUUCAUAAGUAUUUAGUGUCAUUUGUGUAAGUAAUCAUUUUAUUCAAAAUAACUUUAUAAAACUAGUAGUUUAGAAUCAACGGUGUAUUAGAGUCCUUUCCAGAAAAUCCUAUAUUUUCUAAAUGAAAGCAGUCUUCUACCAAGACUCGACACAGUUAUGUUUUAAAGAGUAAUUUUCCCUGAAAUACUAUCGUUACCAAAAUACGAUAUUUGAUUUUUAAGAAAGUAGGAGAAUAUCACGAGUAAAAACAUUAGGGAAAAUAACAUAUGCCUCAGUAGAGAAAACUGUUGACUAAGGCAAAAGAAAUCAUAGACUCCAGGAGAGUAUCAAAUGAAUGAUACACCAGGCUCAGUCUAACAAAAGGGAAUAUAGACCCCAAACGCUAUCAAAUGUACGAUACGGCUAGCAAGGUCUAAAACAAAGAAGCACAGACCCCAGACAGUAUCAAAUGAAAGAUACAGCUAGCAAGGUCUAAAACAAGGAAACGCAGACCCCAGACAGUAUCAAAUGAAAGAU